RNAcentral lists this transfer RNA (72 nucleotides) under hydrothermal vent metagenome. Its description in RNAcentral is "tRNA-Gly-GCC". It matches the Rfam family "tRNA". Rfam says of the family: Transfer RNA (tRNA) molecules are approximately 80 nucleotides in length. Their secondary structure includes four short double-helical elements and three loops (D, anti-codon, and T loops). Further hydrogen bonds mediate the characteristic L-shaped molecular structure. tRNAs have two regions of fundamental functional importance: the anti-codon, which is responsible for specific mRNA codon recognition, and the 3' end, to which the tRNAs corresponding amino acid is attached (by aminoacyl-tRNA synthetases). tRNAs cope with the degeneracy of the genetic code in two manners: having more than one tRNA (with a specific anti-codon) for a particular amino acid; and 'wobble' base-pairing, i.e. permitting non-standard base-pairing at the 3rd anti-codon position. The record is from RNAcentral.
GCGGGAGUAGCUCAGUGGUAGAGCACAACCUUGCCAAGGUUGGGGCCGCGGGUUCGACCCCCGUCUCCCGCU